RNAcentral lists this non-coding RNA (29 nucleotides) under Rattus norvegicus (Norway rat). The record is from RNAcentral. Lineage: Eukaryota; Metazoa; Chordata; Mammalia; Rodentia; Muridae.
UCUUAUCUAGUUUGGGUGGCCACAUGUGA